RNAcentral lists this ribosomal RNA (580 nucleotides) under uncultured eukaryote. RNAcentral describes it as "SSU rRNA". It matches the Rfam family "Eukaryotic small subunit ribosomal RNA", at positions 618 to 1206 of the family's 1831-position model. The record is from RNAcentral.
GUUAAAAAGCUCGUAGUUGGAUUUCGGAGUGGGCCAGUUGGUCCGCCGCAAGGUGUGUUACUGACUGGUCUGCUCUUCUUCGCAAAGACUGCGUGUGCUCUUUGUUGAGUGUGCGUAGGAUUUACGACGUUUACUUUGAAAAAAUUAGAGUGUUCAAAGCAGGCUAUUGCUUGAAUACAUGAGCAUGGAAUAAUGGAAUAGGACUUUGGUCCCAUUUUGUUGGUUUCUAGGACCGAAGUAUGAUUAAGAGGGACAAUUGGGGGCAUCCGUAUUUCGUUGUCAGAGGUGAGAUUCUUGGAUUUACGAAAGACGAACAACUGCGAAAGCACUUGCCAAGAGUGUUUUCAUUAAUCAAGAACGAAGGUUAGAGGAUCGAAGACGAUCAGAUACCGUCCUAGUUCUAACCAUAAACGAUGUCGACUAGGGAUCAGCGGGCGUUAUCGUACGACCCCGUUGGCACCUUACGGGAAACCAAAGUUUCUGGAUUCCGGGGGAAGUAUAGUCGCAAGGCCGAAACUUAAAGGAAUUGACGGAAGGGCACCACCAGGAGUGGAGCCUGUGGCUCAAUUUGACUCAACAC